Molecule: ribosomal RNA, 305 nt
Filed under: Bacillus velezensis
Lineage: Bacteria; Bacillati; Bacillota; Bacilli; Caryophanales; Bacillaceae
Description: bacterial SSU rRNA
Rfam family: Bacterial small subunit ribosomal RNA
Source: RNAcentral
UGAAGGUUUUCGGAUCGUAAAGCUCUGUUGUUAGGGAAGAACAAGUGCCGUUCAAAUAGGGCGGCACCUUGACGGUACCUAACCAGAAAGCCACGGCUAACUACGUGCCAGCAGCCGCGGUAAUACGUAGGUGGCAAGCGUUGUCCGGAAUUAUUGGGCGUAAAGGGCUCGCAGGCGGAUUCUUAAGUCUGAUGUGAAAGCCCCCGGCUCAACCGGGGAGGGUCAUUGGAAACUGGGGAACUUGAGUGCAGAAGAGGAGAGUGGAAUUCCACGUGUAGCGGUGAAAUGCGUAGAGAUGUGGAGGA